UACGGAAGGCAGCAGUGGGGAAUAUUGCACAAUGGGCGCAAGCCUGAUGCAGCCAUGCCGCGUGUAUGAAAAAGGCCUUCGGGUUGUAAAGUACUUUCAGUCGUGAGGAAGGUGUUAAGGUUAAUAACCUUAGCAAUUGACGUUAGCGACAGAAGAAGCACCGGCUAACUCCGUGCCAGCAGCCGCGGUAAUACGGAGGGUGCGAGCGUUAAUCGGAAUUACUGGGCGUAAAGGGCACGCAGGCGGUUAAUUAAGUUGGAUGUGAAAUCCCCGGGCUUAACCUGGGAAUGGCAUUCAAGACUGGUUAGCUAGAGUCUUGUAGAGGGGGUAGAAUUCCAUGUGUAGCGGUGAAAUGCGUAGAGAUGUGGAGGAAUACCGGUGGUGAAGGCGGCCCCUGGACAAAGACUGACGCUCAUGUGCGAAAGCGUGGGGAGCAAACAGGGAUUAGAUACC
RNAcentral lists this ribosomal RNA (453 nucleotides) under uncultured bacterium. Its description in RNAcentral is "bacterial SSU rRNA". It matches the Rfam family "Bacterial small subunit ribosomal RNA", at positions 340 to 786 of the family's 1533-position model. The record is from RNAcentral.